This is a long non-coding RNA of Topomyia yanbarensis, 907 nucleotides long. RefSeq lists it as uncharacterized. The record is from RefSeq and is a predicted model, not a curated record. NCBI's taxonomy places the organism in Eukaryota, Metazoa, Arthropoda, Insecta, Diptera, Culicidae. The transcript is spliced from 4 exons.
UGCCGCGUCGCGAGUGCAAAGCAUCACGAAGGAAAUUGCGCUCUGCCACCGAGAGCAGCUUCGAGAAAAAGAUCCGGCUAACAAACGUAAUCCAGAAGAGAUUACGAACUAGAUCGUCCGCUGAUUCCCGACGCCGUUAGUUAGUGGAGACGACAAAAGUAAGCUCUGUUCAUCCGAUUGUCGAUCGCAGCAGUGCUCAUCGUGAACGAACGAUUACACGAGGCAGUCAGAUCGGCAUCCAAAAGAGCCGUUGACUUUUCGAAGACGAUACGGGUCGAAAAGUUUUUCGCUAAUUGCACUGGCCUCUUCUCACGAACAUAUUCUGGCAGUCGGUCUAGUGCAACAACGAAGAAGAUUUCGAUAGAUCCCGGAAAGGGGUUUUUAUUUGGAUCUUUUUAUCUGGACCUUUAUUGUUGGAAGCUUAUAUCUGGACCAUUAUUUCUGGAAUUCACCUUUUGGAAUCUUCACUUGGGAAUUUUCCAUUAGAUUUCCGAUUCGGAGCAUACAUCUUGAACGACGAUAGCGGGACCUUUGCUGCCGUACCGAGUGUUUGCUGUUGCGAUGCGAUCCUGGUCAAGACGGUCAUUUUGCAUCAAGAGUCGAUUCAGCAGCAUCGAAUUGCCACGACGACUUUGCAACCGAGAGCAAACGAAUUCAACAAGGGUGUCACGACACGGUUCCUGGGUGGAGUGGUGAGCGGAAUCCGUGUUAGUUUGAUUGCGCAGGCCAUUAUAUGGAAGAGUCACAGGAGAUUCGACAGUCACCACCAGGGAGUUGGUUUGGUGCUUACAGAAGAUCGACGGGAAUGUUGCCGACAGGGAACUAAAACCACGGGCCCGUGAGUAAUAAAUAAGUUGUGUAUUCAAGAUAAAUAGAUGUAAGUGAGAUAGAUUAGGAGUGAAUAAAG